This 263-nucleotide ribosomal RNA is filed under the name uncultured Staphylococcus sp. RNAcentral's name for it is "partial 16S ribosomal RNA". It matches the Rfam family "Bacterial small subunit ribosomal RNA", at positions 99 to 354 of the family's 1533-position model. Lineage: Bacteria; Bacillati; Bacillota; Bacilli; Caryophanales; Staphylococcaceae. The record is from RNAcentral.
CGGACGGGUGAGUAGCACGUGGAUAACCUACCUAUAAGACUGGGAUAACUUCGGGAAACCGGAGCUAAUACCGGAUAAUAUAUUGAACCGCAUGGUUCAAUAGUGAAAGACGGUUUUGCUGUCACUUAUAGAUGGAUCCGCGCCGCAUUAGCUAGUUGGUAAGGUAACGGCUUACCAAGGCAACGAUGCGUAGCCGACCUGAGAGGGUGAUCGGCCACACUGGAACUGAGACACGGUCCAGACUCCUACGGGAGGCAGCAGGU